Molecule: ribosomal RNA, 506 nt
Filed under: uncultured bacterium
Lineage: Bacteria
Description: partial 16S ribosomal RNA
Rfam family: Bacterial small subunit ribosomal RNA
Source: RNAcentral
GAUGAACGCUAGCUACAGGCUUAACACAUGCAAGUCGAGGGGUAACGAGAGGAAAGCUUGCUUUCCUUGUCGACGACCGGCGCACGGGUGAGUAACGCGUAUCCAACCUGCCCCCAACUAGGGAAUAACCUUGCGAAAGUAAGACUAAUACCCUAUAAUUUCCUCAGAUGACAUCUGACGAGGAAUAAAGAUUUAUCGGUUGUGGAUGGGGAUGCGUCUGAUUAGCUUGUUGGCGGGGUAACGGCCCACCAAGGCAACGAGCAGUAGGGGUGCUGAGAGGAAGUGCCACCCAAUUGGGACUGCGACACGGUCCAAACUCCUACGGGAGGCCGCAGUGAGGAAUAUUGGGCAAUGGGCGGAAGCCUGAACCAGCCAAGUAGAGUGCGGGAUGACGGCCCUAUGGGUUGUAAACUGCUUUUAUACAGGAAUAAAGUUAGCCACGUGUGGUUAUUUGUAGGUACUGUAUGAAUAAGGACCGGCUAACUCCGUGCCAGCCGCCGCCGUAA